AAUGCCGGAUGCUCCAGUUGAUCGCAUGGUCUUCUGGGAAAGCUUUCGCGGUAUGGGAUGGGGUCGCGUCCUAUCAGCUUGACGGCGGGGUAACGGCCCACCGUGGCUUCGACGGGUAGCCGGCCUGAGAGGGCGACCGGCCACAUUGGGACUGAGAUACGGCCCAGACUCCUACGGGAGGCAGCAGUGGGGAAUAUUGCACAAUGGGCGCAAGCCUGAUGCAGCGACGCCGCGUGAGGGAUGGAGGCCUUCGGGUUGUAAACCUCUUUUAUCGGGGAGCAAGCGAGAGUGAGUUUACCCGUUGAAUAAGCACCGGCUAACUACGUGCCAGCAGCCGCGGUAAUACGUAGGGUGCAAGCGUUAUCCGGAAUUAUUGGGCGUAAAGGGCUCGUAGGCGGUUCGUCGCGUCCGGUGUGAAAGUCCAUCGCUUAACGGUGGAUCCGCGCCGGGUACGGGCGGGCUUGAGUGCGGUAGGGGAGACUGGAAUUCCCGGUGUAACGGUGGAAUGUGUAGAUAUCGGAAAGAAACA
Molecule: ribosomal RNA, 529 nt
Filed under: Bifidobacterium longum subsp. suillum
Lineage: Bacteria; Bacillati; Actinomycetota; Actinomycetes; Bifidobacteriales; Bifidobacteriaceae
Description: bacterial SSU rRNA
Rfam family: Bacterial small subunit ribosomal RNA
Source: RNAcentral